Long non-coding RNA from Leptopilina boulardi, 432 nucleotides. RefSeq lists it as uncharacterized. The transcript has 3 exons. NCBI's taxonomy places the organism in Eukaryota, Metazoa, Arthropoda, Insecta, Hymenoptera, Figitidae. The record is from RefSeq and is a predicted model, not a curated record.
UUUAAAUUGUCCAUUGGUCCAACUUUCAAGAAUUUCUCCUGUAUUGAGAAGAAUUGCUCCUGGUAAAUGACCAACACGCCACCAACGCUCACCACUUGGACUUUGAAUUUCCAGGCCGCCCUCGCAGUCCUGAAAUUUAAUUUACGUAAAAUGUGAUGCCACCUACGCAAGAUGUUUUCUCCUCGUUUGGAAGAAAGAAAAAAAAAAGUGACAUGGAUCGUAAAUUCUUAUCGGCAUAUACAAAUAAACCUAGUGGCUUUUGAGAAAGAAAAAAAAAACAAACAUACCUGGAAUCUCUCUGAAUGGAGUUGAGAAAAUUGAAAGCUGCAGGGAAAUUUUUGAUGAAUAUUUGAAAGAAAAUCAAAAGACGGAUGAAAUAUAUACGAAAGGAUCGCGCACGGAGAUUGUAUACAACUUUUUAAGUAUUCAAGU